This 206-nucleotide ribosomal RNA is filed under the name uncultured bacterium. Its description in RNAcentral is "partial 16S ribosomal RNA". It matches the Rfam family "Bacterial small subunit ribosomal RNA", at positions 568 to 774 of the family's 1533-position model. The record is from RNAcentral.
CGUGUAGGCGGUUUAAUAAGUCAGAUGUAAAAGCCCCCGGCUCAACCGGGGAUGGUCAUUUGAAACUGUUAGGCUUGAGUGCGAGAGAGGGUAGUGGAAUUCCCAGUGUAGCGGUGAAAUGCGUAGAUAUUGGGAAGAACACCAGUAGCGAAGGCGGCUACCUGGCUCGCAACUGACGCUGAGGCGCGAAAGCGUGGGAGCAAACA